UGCAGGCCGUGUUCCUGUUCAUCGGAAACAGAUGAAUGCAACAAUGUAACACUAAAAUCAAAACUUGCAUGUGAUAUUCCUAACCAUGCACAUAGUAUCGGUCGCAUACGUAGCCGUUGUGUGGAUGGUAAAUGGUUCUCUGAGUCACUGACAGUGAUUUGUGGAGCAACAUCUCAAGGACAAAGCCGUGCACGGACAGAGAAACAUCCCACGGCUGGAUGCAGACAAACGAAGCUACUUCCAGCUCAAGUUCCCAGCAGACAACAUCCCUUUGAGGAAAGAUCUGUGGAGCUUCAGCGUCAGAGCAUAGAUGGGCGAGAAGGUGGUCCAGGGCACAUUUGGGUGGGGUGGACCCCAGAUGAUUGGCCGCUCAGCUCCUCCUCUCCUGCUGGUCCCUGGAGCCACUCCUUCUACACCCUGAUUCACCCCUUCACUGAC
Long non-coding RNA from Megalops cyprinoides (Indo-Pacific tarpon), 438 nucleotides. RefSeq lists it as uncharacterized. Lineage: Eukaryota; Metazoa; Chordata; Actinopteri; Elopiformes; Megalopidae. The transcript has 3 exons. The record is from RefSeq and is a predicted model, not a curated record.